GCGAGCGUAGUUCAAUGGCAGAACUCCAGCUUCCCAAGCUGGUGGUGCGGGUUCGAUUCCCGUCGCUCGCUCCA
This 74-nucleotide transfer RNA is filed under the name Actinomycetales bacterium. RNAcentral's name for it is "tRNA-Gly". It matches the Rfam family "tRNA". From Rfam's summary of the family: Transfer RNA (tRNA) molecules are approximately 80 nucleotides in length. Their secondary structure includes four short double-helical elements and three loops (D, anti-codon, and T loops). Further hydrogen bonds mediate the characteristic L-shaped molecular structure. tRNAs have two regions of fundamental functional importance: the anti-codon, which is responsible for specific mRNA codon recognition, and the 3' end, to which the tRNAs corresponding amino acid is attached (by aminoacyl-tRNA synthetases). tRNAs cope with the degeneracy of the genetic code in two manners: having more than one tRNA (with a specific anti-codon) for a particular amino acid; and 'wobble' base-pairing, i.e. permitting non-standard base-pairing at the 3rd anti-codon position. The record is from RNAcentral. Lineage: Bacteria; Bacillati; Actinomycetota; Actinomycetes; Actinomycetales. RNAcentral also lists the same sequence under 2 other names.